UGAGGAAUAUUGGUCAAUGGGCUUACGCCUGAACCAGCCAAGUCGCGUGAGGGAAGACUGCCCUAUGGGUUGUAAACCUCUUUUGCAGGGAGCAAUUGGCGCUACGUGUAGCGUUAUCGAGAGUACCUGAAGAAAAAGCAUCGGCUAACUCCGUGCC
This 157-nucleotide ribosomal RNA is filed under the name uncultured bacterium. Its description in RNAcentral is "partial 16S ribosomal RNA". It matches the Rfam family "Bacterial small subunit ribosomal RNA", at positions 355 to 509 of the family's 1533-position model. The record is from RNAcentral.